GCAACGGAUCUCUUGGCUCUCGCAUCGAUGAAGAACGCAGCGAAAUGCGAUAAGUAAUGUGAAUUGCAGAAUUCAGUGAAUCAUCGAAUCAUUGAACGCACCUUGCGCCUCUUGGUAUUCCGAGAGGCAUGCCUGUUUGAGUGUCAUUAAAUUCUCAACUUCAAAAGCUUUUGUCUUUUUGAAGCUUGGAUGGUGAAGGCUUGCUGGCGUUUUAAAUGUCUCAGCUCCUUUGAAAAGUAUUAGUGGACCCGUUUGUGUUCAUUCCUUAGUGUGAUAAUUAUCUACGCUGUGGUCUUUGAAUGCAUGCUCAUUAGAAUCUUUCGAGCUGUUGUUUUUACUACAGUCUCGGUGUGGAGAGUUGCAUGAAUUUGCUCUUUCUGUCUCUUGAGUCAGGAUUGUCUGCUUCAAACCGUCUACACAUUGUAGACAAUUUUGAACCAUUUGACCUCAAUCAGGUAGGACUACCCGCUGAACUUAAGCAUAUCAUAAGCGGAGGA
This 497-nucleotide ribosomal RNA is filed under the name uncultured Agaricales. RNAcentral describes it as "eukaryotic LSU rRNA". The stretch from base 1 to 146 matches the Rfam family "5.8S ribosomal RNA". The record is from RNAcentral. Lineage: Eukaryota; Fungi; Basidiomycota; Agaricomycetes; Agaricales.